CCAGCCAACAGACUCUAUUGACCGAAGACUUGGGGGACUACACUAUGUACCAUAUAUUGGGCCUCAUGAAAAAUACUUGGGGGACUCUAGCCCAUUAUUUAUGUAUUGAAGAGUGAACCCUUAUUCUAUAAAAGUGACUCCCUCACCAACAUUAGAGAGUAUCAACUCUAGCUCAUUAUUCAUGUAUUGAGGAGUGAGCCCUUAUUCUAUAAAAUGGACUCCCUCACCAUCAUUAGAGAGUAUCGCCACCUACUAAGCAACCACCUCACCGCGAGCAUCAACUCUAGCCCAUAUUUAUGUAUUGAGGAACGAGCCCUUAUUCUAUAAAAGGGAUUCCCUUACCUCCAACGCCACAAGCCGAGCCAACCAAGGCAACAUAAGCCACAAGCCUCGCAACCUCGCAACAUGUGCUACUUCUAGUUGAGCAUCAUUUCACAUUGAGCACCACCUCGUAUCGAGUAUUCAGUUCUAGACGACAUCUAGUUACUUCGGCCUACACAUGGACUGAAUUUCAAGUCUCCAGCCAGAAGACUCUCUUGACUGAAGACUUGGGGGACUACUGUUUGUACCAUACUUAGGGCUUCCGUAUUUAGAUCUCGUAUAAAUACUCGGGGGACUCAAAUGUAAUUAUGUAAUAAGGGAAGGGAUAAAUAUGUAAUAAGUGAGGAGCCCUUAUUCUAUAAAAUGACCACUCACCCUCACAAUUAGAAGGGCCUCACUCUCACCUUCAGAGUCCAACUUUUAGGCCUGAAGCCCCCUCACCCUCUCAGAUCCCCUCUCACAUUACAAAGGUUCUCUCCCUCACAAUCAUCUCAGAGAAAUACAAUAUCAGUGUGGACGUAGCCCAAACAUUGGGGUGAACCACGAUACAUCUUGUGUUAUUUACAUUUCUUGCAGAUUCACGGUUGGAUUUACGUUGUUCCAACACCUCCGGUUUUGUGCAUCAACAAAAAUCAAUUAAACUUCAUCAAAAUCCAUGAUUUUUUAAAUCUGUUAAAAUCCCUCAAAAUUCCAAUUAAAUACAAAAAAGAAAGAUGGGGAUUUGAAUAUGUUUUCCUUUGUAACUACAAGUGUCAAUCGCGAACUUAGUUGUUGAUAUUUUAAUUAUACUUUGUUUGUACCAUACUUAGGGUCUUCGUAUUUAGACCUCGUAUAAAUACUUGGAGACUCAAAUGUAAUUAUGUAAUGAAUAAAGGGGUAAAUAUGUAAUAAGUGAGGAGCCCUUAUUCUAUAAAAUGACUCAUCACUCUCAUCAUUUAGAGGGGUGAAGGUUUUUGGCCUAUAGCCUUAGAGAGAAAACAGAAAAUAGCCUAGAGAGCACUGCCUCUAGCCUUCUUGUAUAUUAGCCAUUCAGAGUGAAACAAUAUCAACAUCAGUGUGGAUGUAGCCCAAACAUUGGGGUGAACCACGAUACAUCUUGUGUUCUUUACUUUCUUGCAGAUUCACGGUCAGAUUUACGUUGUUCCAAGACCCCUCCAGUUUGUGCAUCAACAUUUGGCGCCGUCUGUGGGAAACGACACGAAAAGUUAUGUCGGUUCUCUUUCAUUUUUUUCAUCUCACCACCAUGAGACCUUACCACAAUAUUCACCGUGAAUUUGCAAAAAAAAAACCCAGGAAACCAAAUACUUUAUCUCUCACUCUGCUAUCCUCUUACAAAAAAAAAUCAUAAAAACCAAGAACACCACUCUCUCUUUCUAAAUACCCAGAAAGCCCAUCUCUCUGUUUUAAAGAAGAAGAAGAAAACAAAAAUGCGGCUGUGGAUACUUUGAUGGGUCCUCCUCGCGUCACUAUCCAACAUGAAGCUGCGCUGCCGUUGCCGCUGCUGCUUCUGCUGUCCUUGCUAUUUCUGCU
RNAcentral lists this long non-coding RNA (1851 nucleotides) under Malus domestica (apple). RNAcentral describes it as "long non-coding RNA (MDOM_LNC015816)". The record is from RNAcentral. Lineage: Eukaryota; Viridiplantae; Streptophyta; Magnoliopsida; Rosales; Rosaceae.